Molecule: long non-coding RNA, 312 nt
Filed under: Vigna radiata
Lineage: Eukaryota; Viridiplantae; Streptophyta; Magnoliopsida; Fabales; Fabaceae
Description: long non-coding RNA (VRAD_LNC001034)
Source: RNAcentral
CUGUGGAAUGUUUGGUAACUCACGGUUUUCAUGGUGGAAUGAAUGAAUGAAUAGCAUAUUCUUUUUCUUUGCAACGCCGCUGUCAAGCUAAGCUUAUUUUUUCUUUAUUUCGUGGGAUGAUGAGUAUAGAUGAAAUGAUGAUUUCACUUAAUGGGAGGAGCAGACUUCUUCUCGGGUUCUGGUGCUUUGGAAAAUGAUUUUUACUUUGGUUUUAUUUUUCUUUGAAUAUUUUGGGAGAUAUUACAAUGUGCUCAUGGGUUAAAUGAAGAGACACAACUUUGCUUUCAAUUGUCUUUGCUCGAAUGUUUCUUA